This 253-nucleotide ribosomal RNA is filed under the name uncultured bacterium. Its description in RNAcentral is "partial 16S ribosomal RNA". It matches the Rfam family "Bacterial small subunit ribosomal RNA", at positions 524 to 776 of the family's 1533-position model. The record is from RNAcentral.
UACGUAGGGGGCUAGUGUUGUCCGGAAUCAUUGGGCGUAAAGAGCGUGUAGGCGGCCCGGUAAGUCCGCUGUGAAAGUCGGGGGCUCAACCCUCGAAUGCCGGUGGAUACUGUCGGGCUAGAGUGCGGAAGAGGCGAGUGGAAUUCCUGGUGUAGCGGUGAAAUGCGCAGAUAUCAGGAGGAACACCAAUUGCGAAGGCAGCUCGCUGGGACGUAACUGACGCUGAGACGCGAAAGCGUGGGGAGCAAACAGG